GGCCUUGCGCUCUUUGAGCGGCCGAUGUCAGAUUAGCUAGUUGGUGAGGUAAAGGCUUACCAAGGCGACGAUCUGUAGCGGGUCUGAGAGGAUGAUCCGCCACACUGGAACUGAGACACGGUCCAGACUCCUACGGGAGGCAGCAGUGGGGAAUUUUGGACAAUGGGGGCAACCCUGAUCCAGCCAUGCCGCGUGAGUGAAGAAGGCCUUCGGGUUGUAAAGCUCUUUCGGCCGGGAAGAAAUCGCAUGGGCCAAUACCCUGUGUGGAUGACGGUACCGGAAUAAGAAGCACCGGCUAACUACGUGCCAGCAGCCGCGGUAAUACGUAGGGUGCGAGCGUUAAUCGGAAUUACUGGGCAUAAAGCGUGCGCAGGCGGUUUUGUAAGACAGGCGUGAAAUCCCCGGGCUUAACCUGGGAACUGCGUUUGUGACUGCAAGGCUAGAGUACGGCAGAGGGGGGUGGAAUUCCGCGUGUAGCAGUGAAAUGCGUAGAGAUGUGGAGGAACACCAAUGGCGAAGGCAGCCCCCUGGGUCGAUACUGACGCUCAUGCACGAAAGCGUGGGUAGCAAACAGGAUUAGAUACCCUGGUAGUCCACGCCCUAAACUAUGUCAACUAGGUGUUGGGUGGGUAAAACCAUUUAGUACCGUAGCUAACGCGUGAAGUUGACCGCCUGGGGAGUACGGCCGCAAGGUUAAAACUCAAAGGAAUUGACGGGGACCCGCACAAGCGGUGGAUGAUGUGGAUUAAUUCGAUGCAACGCGAAAAACCUUACCUACCCUUGACAUGCCAGGAACUUGCCAGAGAUGGCUUGGUGCCCGAAAGGGAGCCUGGACACAGGUGCUGCAUGGCUGUCGUCAGCUCGUGUCGUGAGAUGUUGGGUUAAGUCCCGCAACGAGCGCAACCCUUGUCGUUAAUCGCCAUCAUUUAGUUGGGCACUUUAACGAGACUGCCGGUGACAAACCGGAGGAAGGUGGGGAUGACGUCAAGUCCUCAUGGCCCUUAUGGGUAGGGCUUCACACGUCAUACAAUGGUCGGUACAAAGGGUUGCCAAGCCGCGAGGCGGAGCCAAUCCCAGAAAGCCGAUCGUAGUCCGGAUUGCAGGCUGCAACUCGCCUGCAUGAAGUCGGAAUCGCUAGUAAUCGUGGAUCAGCAUGUCACGGUGAAUACGUUCCCGGGUCUUGUACACACCGCCCGUCACACCAUGGGAGCGGGUUCCGCCAGAAGUAGGUAGCCUAACCGCAAGGGGGGCGCUUACCACGGCGGGGUUCGUGACUGGGGUGAAGUCGAAACAAGGUA
Molecule: ribosomal RNA, 1298 nt
Filed under: metagenome
Description: bacterial SSU rRNA
Rfam family: Bacterial small subunit ribosomal RNA
Source: RNAcentral